RNAcentral lists this ribosomal RNA (422 nucleotides) under uncultured bacterium. RNAcentral's name for it is "partial 16S ribosomal RNA". It matches the Rfam family "Bacterial small subunit ribosomal RNA", at positions 360 to 774 of the family's 1533-position model. The record is from RNAcentral.
AAUAUUGGACAAUGGGGGGAACCCUGAUCCAGCCAUGCUGCGUGUGUGAAGAAGGUCUUCGGAUUGUAAAGAACUCUAAGUUGGGAGGAAGGGCUUUAGGUAAAUACCUUGAAGUUUUGACGUUACCAACAGGAAAAGUACCGGCUAACUCUGUGCUAGCAGCCGCGGUAAUACAGAGGGUGCAAGCGUUAAUCGGAAUUACUGGGCGUAAGGCGCGCGUAGGUGGUUCAGUAAGAUGGGUGUGAAAUCCCCGGGCUUAACCUGGGAACUGCUUUCAUAACUGCUGAGCUAGAGUACGGUAGAGGAUAGUGGAAUUUCCUGUGUAGCGGUGAAAUGCGUAGAUAUAGGAAGGAACACCAGUGGCGAAGGCGACUACCUGGACUGGUACUGACACUGAGGUGCGAAAGCGUGGGGAGCAAACA